This 1857-nucleotide unclassified non-coding RNA is filed under the name Hevea brasiliensis (rubber tree). Lineage: Eukaryota; Viridiplantae; Streptophyta; Magnoliopsida; Malpighiales; Euphorbiaceae. The record is from RNAcentral.
AUCUUCUUCUGAAGCCAUGACAGCCACUUUUCCAGAAUUUUGAAGGGAAGACAAGAUUAUUUCAUUCUGCGCAACAGGAUACACUCACCAAUUAAAAGAUUUCACUUCCUUUUUUCAAUUGUUAUUUUCUGGUUAAAGAGAAGGAGCAGGUGCAGUAAGACCAACAAUUCAUUUGAUCAUUAUUGAGAUCACUUUAUGCCACAAUCAGCAAUAAUCUUAUAAGUUCACUAUAUAAUAUAAAAUUUUCCUAACAUACUAAAUGUGAAAAGACUGACAAAGAACUGAAGAGAAUAUAUCUCUCAAAACUAUUUGAUAUAAGGUUUAAUUUACAUAGUAAAUCAACUGGAUUAAUGAAUAAAAGAAAACUGCAUAAUUAAUAUGUUUUAUGGAUCAUUGAAUAUUUUGAUUUGUGUCUGGAGGCAUUGUGCCUAGUAUGUUAGUCUCUCAGAUGCACUUCUUCUUCUUCUUCCUGUUUCUUUCUAGUUCUCUCUUCUUGAUUUCUUUUCCAAAUCACAACCAACUCUUUCCCUUCUUGUUCAUUUUUUUAAUUCUAAAGCCUAAACUUCUUAAUUUUCCAGAAUACCCAUCACAAGCACAAAAUAAGUAUAGGCAACAGAAAAUCUAGCAAAAAAAUAGACCUUUACAUUUCAGGAAUUGCUUGUCGAGUUAAAUUUGCUGAAAAGAAAUUACAUACAAAAAAAAAUUAUGAUGCAUAAAGCCUAGACCAUUGGCCUCAAUUGUCAAAGUUCUCUUCAUCUACCAGGUGGAGGAUUGGGGUAGAGUCAUGGUGGGGACUAGUGAAGCCAUUAUCUAUUGCUUGGAAUAUAAAUAAAAGACAAAGUAAACAUCAUAAUAUUAUAUGACUUUGAGCUAUUGAAGCUAAGCAGCAUCUUGUCCAGCACCAGCACUAAAGCUCAAAACCUCAUGAAAUAAAAAAAAAAAAUUGUAAAUUGACAUCACCUUGUAUGUUCUUAUUGAAUUCCAUUCGCAAUCCAUAAACCAAAAUCAUGAAUAUCAUGAAGGCAAAAACUGAACAAUCUAAAAUAAUUAAUCACAAAGGUAAGGUUCAAUCAGUUGUAGAUAAUGGAAAAACCGAGACUAUAUCGAGAGGCUUUGAUGCAUCCCUAUCUGAGCCACUGCCAGCACCAGCAAUGUUACUUUGUUUACCGAGACUGGAAUUGAAAGGAGACGCCAAAAGAGCUGCAAUUCUCUUGGAAGCAUACUGUAUAUGACUAAACAAGACCACCAAAUCAUCCCCCACAUUAAUUCCUCCCUUGCCCACAUAUUCCACCAGCGUAGAAAACCCAUUAUCCACACCAGCAGAAGUAACCAUUUGCGAUUUUACACUAAACCCACCAAGAGAAGCCAUUCUAGGCCAGCAAAAGUAACAACUCCCCACAAGAACUGGAUUUUUUGCCGGGAAAAACUGGAGUUUUGUGUGGAAAGAGUGAGACUUUGGCGGGAAAAGUGAAGCUGGGUAUAUGGGUGUGACACACGAUUGCAUAUUAUAUAUAUUUUAGCUUGUUGGAGGAUUGAUUAGGAAGGAAAUAUUGAUAGCAUUGAAAAUAAUCAGAAGCUUUCAGAAAGAAAAGCAAGAGAGUAUCUUUUGGGUUGUGUGGAGAAGAUAGAUCAGAUUUCUUUGUUAGGAAACAUAAAUGAAACAGAUAAUGAACAAAAAUUUUGAAGGAAGAGAAAGGAGGUUGACUGGCUGAGGCUUUGAGCCAGUUUGAGAGAGGCCUGAAGCAGCAGAGAAGAGAGAACGUUCAAGGACAUGGGCCAAAUCCACUCUUGGACUGGGGUUUCUUAGAGAUAGAGAGGAUAGAAGAAACAUAAUGCACUCUGAAUAACAGAAGGACA